CCCGGCUGACUUAAGCAUAUCAAUAAGCGGAGGAAAAGAAACUAACAAGGAUUCCCCUAGUAACUGCGAGUGAAGCGGGAAAAGCUCAAAUUUAAAAUCUGUCAGUCUUUGGCUGUCCGAGUUGUAAUCUAGAGAAGCGUUAUCCGCGCUGGACCGUGUACAAGUCUCCUGGAAUGGAGCGUCAUAGAGGGUGAGAAUCCCGUCUUUGACACGGACUGCCAGGGCUUUGUGAUGCGCUCUCAAAGAGUCGAGUUGUUUGGGAAUGCAGCUCAAAAUGGGUGGUAAAUUCCAUCUAAAGCUAAAUAUUGGCGAGAGACCGAUAGCGAACAAGUACCGUGAGGGAAAGAUGAAAAGAACUUUGGAAAGAGAGUUAAACAGUACGUGAAAUUGCUGAAAGGGAAACGCUUGAAGUCAGUCGCGUUGUUCAGGGAUCAACCUUGCUUUUGCUUGGUGUACUUUCUGAUUAACGGGUCAGCAUCAAUUUUGACUGUUGGAAAAAGGUCAGGGGAAUGUGGCAUCUUUAGAUGUGUUAUAGCCCUUGGUUGCAUACAAUGGUUGGGAUUGAGGAACUCAGCACGCCGCAAGGCCGAGUAAUUUUACUACGUACGUGCUUAGGAUGUUGGCAUAAUGGCUUUAAUCGACCCGUCUUGAAACACGGACCAAGGAGUCUAACAUGCCUGCGAGUGUUUGGGUGGAAAACCCGAGCGCGUAAUGAAAGUGAAAGUUGAGAUCCCUGUCGUGGGGAGCAUCGACGCCCGGACCAGACCUUUUGUGACGGUUCCGCGGUAGAGCAUGUAUGUUGGGACCCGAAAGAUGGUGAACUAUGCCUGAAUAGGGUGAAGCCAGAGGAAACUCUGGUGGAGGCUCGUAGCGAUUCUGACGUGCAAAUCGAUCGUCAAAUUUGGGUAUAGGGGCGAAAGACUAAUCGAACCAUCUAGUAGCUGGUCCU
RNAcentral lists this ribosomal RNA (949 nucleotides) under Cortinarius sp. RNAcentral describes it as "partial large subunit ribosomal RNA". It matches the Rfam family "Eukaryotic large subunit ribosomal RNA", at positions 24 to 958 of the family's 3401-position model. The record is from RNAcentral. Lineage: Eukaryota; Fungi; Basidiomycota; Agaricomycetes; Agaricales; Cortinariaceae.